RNAcentral lists this ribosomal RNA (102 nucleotides) under Orthodontium lineare. Its description in RNAcentral is "partial 5.8S ribosomal RNA". It matches the Rfam family "5.8S ribosomal RNA", at positions 54 to 154 of the family's 154-position model. From Rfam's summary of the family: 5.8S ribosomal RNA (5.8S rRNA) is a component of the large subunit of the eukaryotic ribosome. It is transcribed by RNA polymerase I as part of the 45S precursor that also contains 18S and 28S rRNA. Functionally, it is thought that 5.8S rRNA may be involved in ribosome translocation. The record is from RNAcentral. RNAcentral also lists the same sequence under 4 other names. Lineage: Eukaryota; Viridiplantae; Streptophyta; Bryopsida; Orthodontiales; Orthodontiaceae.
UGCGAUACGUAGUGUGAAUUGCAGAAUUCCGCGAAUCAUUGAGUCUUUGAACGCAAGUUGCGCCCGAGGCUUGUCCAAGGGCAUUUCCGCUAGAGCGUCACC